RNAcentral lists this ribosomal RNA (468 nucleotides) under uncultured bacterium. RNAcentral describes it as "partial 16S ribosomal RNA". It matches the Rfam family "Bacterial small subunit ribosomal RNA", at positions 28 to 507 of the family's 1533-position model. The record is from RNAcentral.
GACGAACGCUGGCGGCGUGCUUAACACAUGCAAGUCGAACGGAAAGGCCCUGCUUUUGUGGGGUGCUCGAGUGGCGAACGGGUGAGUAACCCGUGAGUAACCUGCCCUUGACUUUGGGAUAACUUCAGGAAACUGGGGCUAAUACCGGGUAGGAGCUCCUGCUGCAUGGUGGGGGUUGGAAAGUUUCGGCGGUUGGGGAUGGACUGGCGGCUUAUCAGCUUGUUGGUGGGGUAGUGGCUUACCAAGGCUUUGACGGGUAGCCGGCCUGAGAGGGUGACCGGCCACAUUGGGACUGAGAUACGGCCCAGACUCCUACGGGAGGCAGCAGUGGAGAAUAGUGCACAAUGGGCGGAAGCCUGAUGCAGCAACGCCGCGUGCGGGAUAACGGCCUUCGGGUUGUAAACCGCUUUCGCCUGUGACGAAGCGUGAGUGACGGUAAUGGGUAAAGAAGCACCGGCUAACUACGUG